This 446-nucleotide ribosomal RNA is filed under the name uncultured bacterium. RNAcentral's name for it is "partial 16S ribosomal RNA". It matches the Rfam family "Bacterial small subunit ribosomal RNA", at positions 338 to 795 of the family's 1533-position model. The record is from RNAcentral.
CCUACGGGCGGCAGCAGUCGAGAAUCUUUCACAAUGGGGGAAACCCUGAUGGUGCGACGCCGCGUGGGGGAAUGAAGGUCUUCGUAUUUUAAACCCCUGUCAUGUGGGAGCAAAUUAAAAAGAUAGUACCACAAGAGGAAGAGACGGCUAACUCUGUGCCAGCAGCCGCGGUAAUACAGAGGUCUCAAGCGUUGUUCGGAAUCACUGGGCGUAAAGCGUGCGUAGGCUGUUUCGUAAGUCGUGUGUGAAAGGCGCGGGCUCAACCCGCGGACGGCACAUGAUACUGCGAGACUAGAGUAAUGGAGGGGGAACCGGAAUUCGCGGUGUAGCAGUGAAAUGCGUAGAUAUCGAGAGGAACACUCGUGGCGAAGGCGGGUUACUGGACAUUAACUGACGCUGAGGCACGAAGGCCAGGGGAGCGAAAGGGAUUAGAUACCCGGGUAGUC